GUGGGGAAUCUUCCGCAAUGGACGAAAGUCUGACGGAGCAACGCCGCGUGAGUGAAGAAGGUUUUCGGAUCGUAAAGCUCUUUCGUUAGGGACGAACGUGCUCUUUGUGAAUAAUGAGGAGUAAUGACGGUACCUAAAUAAGAAGCCACGGCUAACUACGUGCCAGCAGCCGCGGUAAUACGUAGGUGGCAAGCGUUGUCCGGAAUUAUUGGGCGUAAAGCGCGCGCAGGCGGGAUAUCAAGUCUGUCUUAAAAGUGCGAGGCUCAACCUCGUGAGGGGACAGAAACUGGUAUUCUUGAGUGUCGGAGAGGAAAGUGGAAUUCCAAGUGUAGCGGUGAAAUGCGUAGAGAUUUGGAAGAACACCAGUGGCGAAGGCGACUUUCUGGACGAUGUCUGACGCUGAGGCGCGAAAGCUAGGGGAGCGAACGGGAUUAGAUACCCUGGUAGUCC
This 450-nucleotide ribosomal RNA is filed under the name uncultured bacterium. RNAcentral describes it as "partial 16S ribosomal RNA". It matches the Rfam family "Bacterial small subunit ribosomal RNA", at positions 354 to 796 of the family's 1533-position model. The record is from RNAcentral.